RNAcentral lists this transfer RNA (72 nucleotides) under Dipodomys ordii (Ord's kangaroo rat). It matches the Rfam family "tRNA". From Rfam's summary of the family: Transfer RNA (tRNA) molecules are approximately 80 nucleotides in length. Their secondary structure includes four short double-helical elements and three loops (D, anti-codon, and T loops). The record is from Rfam by way of RNAcentral. Lineage: Eukaryota; Metazoa; Chordata; Mammalia; Rodentia; Heteromyidae.
GGGGGUGUGGUCUAGUGGGACAGCACCUGCCUAGCAAGUGGAAGGCCCUGAGUUCAAACCCCAGCACCACCA